This 433-nucleotide ribosomal RNA is filed under the name uncultured bacterium. RNAcentral's name for it is "partial 16S ribosomal RNA". It matches the Rfam family "Bacterial small subunit ribosomal RNA", at positions 29 to 507 of the family's 1533-position model. The record is from RNAcentral.
AGCGAACGCUGGCGGCAGGCCUAACACAUGCAAGUCGAACGAACUCUUCGGAGUUAGUGGCGGACGGGUGUGUAACACGUGGGAACGUGCCUUUAGGUUCGGAAUAACUCAGGGAAACUUGUGCUAAUACCGAAUGUGCCCUUCGGGGGAAAGAUUUAUCGCCUUUCGAGCGGCCCGCGUCUGAUUAGCUAGUUGGUGAGGUAAAGGCUCACCAAGGCGACGAUCAGUAGCUGGUCUGAGAGGAUGAUCAGCCACAUUGGGACUGAGACACGGCCCAAACUCCUACGGGAGGCAGCAGUGGGGAAUCUUGCGCAAUGGGCGAAAGCCUGACGCAGCCAUGCCGCGUGAAUGAUGAAGGUCUUAGGAUUGUAAAAUUCUUUCACCGGGGACGAUAAUGACGGUACCCGGAGAAGAAGCCCCGGCUAACUUCGUG